RNAcentral lists this ribosomal RNA (40 nucleotides) under Lactarius chrysorrheus. RNAcentral's name for it is "partial 28S ribosomal RNA". The record is from RNAcentral. Lineage: Eukaryota; Fungi; Basidiomycota; Agaricomycetes; Russulales; Russulaceae. RNAcentral also lists the same sequence under 6 other names.
CCUUGACCUCAAAUCGGGUGAGACUACCCGCUGAACUUAA